Molecule: non-coding RNA, 20 nt
Filed under: Arabidopsis thaliana (thale cress)
Lineage: Eukaryota; Viridiplantae; Streptophyta; Magnoliopsida; Brassicales; Brassicaceae
Source: RNAcentral
UGAAGAGUAGGUGUCGCAGC